This 594-nucleotide ribosomal RNA is filed under the name uncultured bacterium. RNAcentral describes it as "bacterial SSU rRNA". It matches the Rfam family "Bacterial small subunit ribosomal RNA", at positions 470 to 1059 of the family's 1533-position model. The record is from RNAcentral.
UGACGGUAUCAUAUGAAUAAGCACCGGCUAACUCCGUGCCAGCAGCCGCGGUAAUACGGGGGGUGCAAGCGUUACUCGGAAUCACUGGGCGUAAAGAGCAUGUAGGCGGGUGAAUAAGUUGGAAGUGAAAUCCUAUAGCUUAACUAUAGAACUGCUUCCAAAACUGUUCGCCUAGAGUAUGGGAGAGGUAGAUGGAAUUUCUGGUGUAGGGGUAAAAUCCGUAGAGAUCAGAAGGAAUACCGAUUGCGAAGGCGAUCUACUGGAACAUUACUGACGCUCAGAUGCGAAAGCGUGGGGAGCAAACAGGAUUAGAUACCCUGGUAGUCCACGCCCUAAACGAUGUACACUAGUUGUUGCUAUACUAGAUAUGGCAGUAAUGCAGUUAACACUUUAAGUGUACCGCCUGGGGAGUACGGUCGCAAGAUUAAAACUCAAAGGAAUAGACGGGGACCCGCACAAGCGGUGGAGCAUGUGGUUUAAUUCGACGAUACGCGAAAAACCUUACCUGGCCUUGACAUAGUAGGAAUCUUUAAGAGAUUAGAGAGUGCUAGCUUGCUAGAACCUACAUACAGGUGCUGCACGGCUGUCGUCAGC